This 474-nucleotide ribosomal RNA is filed under the name uncultured bacterium. RNAcentral's name for it is "partial 16S ribosomal RNA". It matches the Rfam family "Bacterial small subunit ribosomal RNA", at positions 28 to 523 of the family's 1533-position model. The record is from RNAcentral.
GACGAACGCUGGCGGCGUGCUUAACACAUGCAAGUCGAACGGUAAGGCCCUUCGGGGUACACGAGUGGCGAACGGGUGAGUAACACGUGGGUGAUCUGCCCUGCACUUCGGGAUAAGCCUGGGAAACUGGGUCUAACACCGCAUACGCUCCUCUGGUCGCCUGGCCGGAGGAGGAAAGUUUUUCGCUCAAGGAGGGUCUCGCGGCCUAUCAGCUUGUUGGCGGGGUAACGGCCCACCAAGGCUACGACGGGUAGCUGGUUUGAGAGAACGAUCAGCCACACUGGGACUGAGACACGGCCCAGACUCCUACGGGAGGCAGCAGUGGGGAAUCUUGCGCAAUGGGCGAAAGCCUGACGCAGCAACGCCGCGUGCGGGAUGACGGCCUUCGUGGUUGUAAACCGCUUUCAGCAGGGACGAAAAUGACGGUACCUGCAGAAGAAGCUCCGGCUAACUACGUGCCAGCCGCCGCCGUAA